GACGAACGCUGGCGGCGUGCUUAACACAUGCAAGUCGAACGGAAAGGCCCUGCUUUUGUGGGGUGCUCGAGUAGCGAACGGGUGAGUAACACGUGAGUAACCUGCCCUUGACUUUGGGAUAACUUCAGGAAACUGGGGCUAAUACCGGAUAGGAGCUCCUGCUGCAUGGUGGGGGUUGGAAAGUUUCGGCGGUUGGGGAUGGACUCGCGGCUUAUCAGCUUGUUGGUGGGGUAGUGGCUUACCAAGGCUUUGACGGGUAGCCGGCCUGAGAGGGUGACCGGCCACAUUGGGACUGAGAUACGGCCCAGACUCCUACGGGAGGCAGCAGUGGGGAAUAUUGCACAAUGGGCGGAAGCCUGAUGCAGCAACGCCGCGUGCGGGAUGACGGCCUUCGGGUUGUAAACCGCUUUCGCCUGUGACGAAGCGUGAGUGACGGUAAUGGGUAAAGAAGCACCGGCUAUCUACGUG
Molecule: ribosomal RNA, 468 nt
Filed under: uncultured bacterium
Lineage: Bacteria
Description: partial 16S ribosomal RNA
Rfam family: Bacterial small subunit ribosomal RNA
Source: RNAcentral